This 254-nucleotide ribosomal RNA is filed under the name uncultured bacterium. RNAcentral describes it as "partial 16S ribosomal RNA". It matches the Rfam family "Bacterial small subunit ribosomal RNA", at positions 524 to 776 of the family's 1533-position model. The record is from RNAcentral.
UACGGGGGGAGCAAGCGUUGUUCGGAUUUACUGGGCGUAAAGGGCGCGUAGGCGGCCAGCACAAGUCAGUUGUGAAAUCUCCGAGCUUAACUCGGAAAGGUCAACUGAUACUGUGCGGCUAGAAUGCGGAAGGGGCAACUGGAAUUCUUGGUGUAGCGGUGAAAUGCGUAGAUAUCAAGAGGAACACCUGCGGCGAAGGCGGGUUGCUGGGCCGACACUGACGCUGAGGCGCGAAAGCUAGGGGAGCGAACGGG